GACGAACGCCGGCGGCGUGCUUAACACAUGCAAGUCGAGCGGUAAGGCCCUUUCGGGGGUACACGAGCGGCGAACGGGUGAGUAACACGUGGGUGACCUGCCCUCAGCUCUGGGAUAAGCCUGGGAAACCGGGUCUAAUACCGGAUAUGACUCCAUGACGCAUGUUGUGGGGUGGAAAGCCUUGUGCGGCUGAGGAUGGGCCCGCGGCCUAUCAGCUUGUUGGUGGGGUGAUGGCCUACCAAGGCGACGACGGGUAGCCGGCCUGAGAGGGCGACCGGCCACACUGGGACUGAGACACGGCCCAGACUCCUACGGGAGGCAGCAGUGGGGAAUCUUGCGCAACGGGCGAAAGCCUGACGCAGCGACGCCGCGUGAGGGAUGACGGCCU
Molecule: ribosomal RNA, 388 nt
Filed under: uncultured bacterium
Lineage: Bacteria
Description: bacterial SSU rRNA
Rfam family: Bacterial small subunit ribosomal RNA
Source: RNAcentral